UAACCGGCGAUACCCGAAUGGGGAAACCCAGUGUGAUUCGUCACACUAUCAUUAACUGAAUCCAUAGGUUAAUGAGGCGAACCGGGGGAACUGAAACAUCUAAGUACCCCGAGGAAAAGAAAUCAACCGAGAUUCCCCCAGUAGCGGCGAGCGAACGGGGAGGAGCCCAGAGCCUGAAUCAGCAUGUGUGUUAGUGGAAGCGUCUGGAAAGGCGCGCGAUACAGGGUGACAGCCCCGUACACAAAAGCGCAUGUGCUGUGAGCUCGAUGAGUAGGGCGGGACACGUGGUAUCCUGUCUGAAUAUGGGGGGACCAUCCUCCAAGGCUAAAUACUCCUGACUGACCGAUAGUGAACCAGUACCGUGAGGGAAAGGCGAAAAGAACCCCGGCGAGGGGAGUGAAAAAGAACCUGAAACCGU
RNAcentral lists this ribosomal RNA (418 nucleotides) under Salmonella enterica. Its description in RNAcentral is "partial 23S ribosomal RNA". It matches the Rfam family "Bacterial large subunit ribosomal RNA", at positions 101 to 559 of the family's 2925-position model. RNAcentral also lists the same sequence under 5 other names. The record is from RNAcentral. Lineage: Bacteria; Pseudomonadati; Pseudomonadota; Gammaproteobacteria; Enterobacterales; Enterobacteriaceae.